ACGUCGUGAGACAGUUCGGUCCCUAUCUGCCGUGGGCGCUGGAGAAUUGAGGGGGGCUGCUCCUAGUACGAGAGGACCGGAGUGGACGCAUCACUGGUGUUCGGGUUGUCAUGCCAAUGGCAUUGCCCGGUAGCUAAAUGCGGAAGAGAUAAGUGCUGAAAGCAUCUAAGCACGAAACUUGCCCCGAGAUGAGUUCUCCCUGAGACUUUAAGUCUCCUGAAGGAACGUUAAAGACGAUGACGUUGAUAGGUCGGGUGUGUAAGCGUAGCGAUACGUUGAGCUAACCGAUACUAAUGAACCGUGAGGCUUAACCUUACAACGCCGAAGGUGUUU
RNAcentral lists this ribosomal RNA (333 nucleotides) under Klebsiella aerogenes. RNAcentral describes it as "bacterial LSU rRNA". It matches the Rfam family "Bacterial large subunit ribosomal RNA", at positions 2616 to 2925 of the family's 2925-position model. Lineage: Bacteria; Pseudomonadati; Pseudomonadota; Gammaproteobacteria; Enterobacterales; Enterobacteriaceae. The record is from RNAcentral.